CAGCCGCCGCGGGAAUACGUAGGGUGCAAGCGUUAAUCGGAAUUACUGGGCGUAAAGCGUGCGCAGGCGGCUUUGUAAGACAGAGGUGAAAUCCCCGGGCUCAACCUGGGAACUGCCUUUGUGACUGCAAGGCUGGAGUGCGGCAGAGGGGGAUGGAAUUCCGCGUGUAGCAGUGAAAUGCGUAGAUAUGCGGAGGAACACCGAUGGCGAAGGCAAUCCCCUGGGCCUGCACUGACGCUCAUGCACGAAAGCGUGGGGAGCAAACAGGAUUAGAUACCCCAGUAGUCCCUGUCUCUUAUAC
RNAcentral lists this ribosomal RNA (301 nucleotides) under uncultured bacterium. RNAcentral describes it as "partial 16S ribosomal RNA". It matches the Rfam family "Bacterial small subunit ribosomal RNA", at positions 509 to 807 of the family's 1533-position model. The record is from RNAcentral.